Ictalurus punctatus (channel catfish) is the source of this 1920-nucleotide long non-coding RNA. RefSeq lists it as uncharacterized. The record is from RefSeq and is a predicted model, not a curated record. Lineage: Eukaryota; Metazoa; Chordata; Actinopteri; Siluriformes; Ictaluridae. The transcript has 3 exons.
UAUUUUGGUUGUGCUGUGAGUUAAAGAGAACCACUGCCCUAAAGAACAACUCUAUCGACAACGAAAAAGCUGUGACGGUAGAACUGAAGAUGAUGUGAAGGAUUUUGUCUGGUUCAUUUGGAGUGCAUUUGAAGGGUGAAAAAGAAGACAAAGAGGAAGCUUGAGAGACUCGAGUCUGGAUACUAGCCAUGGAGGAGGAUUAUAUGAAGAGGAGCCACCCUGAUGUCAUAAUGCAGCAGCAUACCAGCAAUGUGGAUAAGGGCUACUCCGAGAGCAAGCGCGCCGAUUCGGGGCCAAACGGCUGCAUGCGGUGCUGCAUGAGUACCAAGAGGUGCCUGAUGAGCCCAGAAUGUGGCAGAGCGCUCAGCAUCGCUAACGUCAUCGCUAUGUGUGGCAUGUGUAUCCGCAUGUGGACGUAGAUUUCUUCUGCUUCUGAGUCAAGAACAGUUUGUCUCCUGGCGGCUGCCGUCCUGAACUAAAAACAAUAGGAGGCAUCAUGAAUUAUGGAAUCUCUACUAAGCAGCCAUUAUAACAUACCCGAUUGAACUCCACCCUAUUUUAUCACCUCAAUCAUUAAAUAAAUAUCUUUUGAGUCAUAUAUCUCUGACAACAGCAUAUCUGUAAGUAAACAUAUUAUUAAACAGGAGAAAGGGUAAUGAAAAUGUAACGUAUUAAAAAAAGACUCUCUGAAUAGAUUAAUAACGCAUUGAUUUUUCAUGUAAAAAUAGUGUCAUGGAUUUUCCAUGGAUGGCAUCUUUAGGUGUCUGUUUUUCCUCAGCUGCUACUGUAUGUCCUGGAAUGUGUAGCAGUGAGACGUGACCGAGUGCCUGCAGGUGAACAAUCAGAAAAUCCUAGACCUUGAUUUUUACACUCCACUACUUUGCGCCUCAACAAAAACCCUGGGUAUUAGAUACUUUUAGCUCAGAACAAGGCUGUGAAAAUUGACUUUUCUACUACAUUCUGCUACAGAUUAUUCUGCGCCUCUUUACGAUUGUCAUCUGCAGCUGAAGUAAUUCAAUUAAAAAGACUGGUGGUACUGGAGGCCAUAUUGUUGACAAUUUUGUAAUGUUUUUCUUAAUUGCUUUAAAUCACUUACGUAAUUUAAUCAUUUGAAGUGUCUUUCCCCACAAUUGUAAUGCUUUUCAUUUGCAUAUGAGUAAUGGAGAACAGUUGCCUUCUUGGUAUUCUCAACACGUAACCUUACGUAUUCUAUUAUCCUCAGAACCGAUUAGAAAUUACUAUCAGUUUCGGUGAACUAAAACACUUGUCAUUUUUCGAAAUGUUUGUAUGUAGCCCGAGCAAAAUUUCACCAAAAAAAAAAGGUGACAUCUCUGACUUUGAUUUACCGCUCUCUGUUCUUAAAAAUACAAAGAAAACAUGAUACAUAUCUUUGUCUUAUCUGCAGUUUUUGAAUUAUGUACUGUACAUGCAAGCAAAACAGCCGCAUGAUAAACGUAUUCAGGUUAAGUUCACACAGUCUCUGCCUAGUUGAUCUAGCAAGGUAUUGAAGGACAAAGCAUGAAAGUCACCCAAAAUUGUGAUGAAAUACCAGUAGCUAAUAUAAGAGCAUUUAUAUCAUGGUCUGUCUGAAUACUCGAGUCUGAUUGGCUGGAAAGUGUGCGUUCAACCCGUAUAAUGAACCGGUGGUACCAUUCAGUUUAAUCACCGUUCUAAAUGAAUGCGUAGCCUAUAAACAACUGUGACCAUAGUAACAUACAGUUACUGUACACUUGCAUACAGAGAGAGACAGCUAUUUAAUGGGGAGAAUUCAGUUAUUUUCGUAAUGGUGUUCACAGCACCAUUAUUAGUAGAGAUGCAGGUAAUUCACACACGCACCAUCUUUCUCUCUCGCUCUCUCGGUCUCUCUCUAAUAACUAUUUGUUAUAAUUCAUUCAAAAUAAAUGUAAUUUUAUCAUGCUA